RNAcentral lists this ribosomal RNA (253 nucleotides) under uncultured bacterium. Its description in RNAcentral is "partial 16S ribosomal RNA". It matches the Rfam family "Bacterial small subunit ribosomal RNA", at positions 524 to 776 of the family's 1533-position model. The record is from RNAcentral.
UACGUAGGGUGCGAGCGUUGUCCGGAUUUAUUGGGCGUAAAGAGCUCGUAGGCGGUUUGUCGCGUCGGCCGUGAAAUCUCCACGCUUAACGUGGAGCGUGCGGUCGAUACGGGCAGACUUGAGUUCGGUAGGGGAGACUGGAAUUCCUGGUGUAGCGGUGAAAUGCGCAGAUAUCAGGAGGAACACCGAUGGCGAAGGCAGGUCUCUGGGCCACUACUGACGCUGAGAAGCGAAAGCAUGGGGAGCGAACAGG